GAGCCCUCAGCAAGGGACCAGAAGAAAUUUAGUCUCGAGGAAAAAUCCAAAUCUUCCAAGAAGCGUGUCCAUUAUAUGAAGUUUGCGAAAGGUAAGGAUCUCUCUUCCCGCAGUGAAGAUGAUCUGUCCUGCAUCUUUGGGAAGCGACAGAAGAAUAUGAAGGCACAGUUAAUUAAACCACGAGGCUGAAAGACAUGUAGACAAAUGAAGAACUGCCCUGUCUUGUCUGCCACUGUGGAUAACAGU
This is a non-coding RNA of Tinamus guttatus (white-throated tinamou), 246 nucleotides long. The record is from RefSeq and is a predicted model, not a curated record. Lineage: Eukaryota; Metazoa; Chordata; Aves; Tinamiformes; Tinamidae.